GUAUAUAUAGUUUAAUAGGUUAGAACAUUUAUCUUCCAAAUAGAAUGUUGUGAGUUCGAUUCUCAUUAUAUACA
RNAcentral lists this transfer RNA (74 nucleotides) under Sphaerothecum destruens. RNAcentral describes it as "tRNA-Gly". It matches the Rfam family "tRNA". Rfam says of the family: Transfer RNA (tRNA) molecules are approximately 80 nucleotides in length. Lineage: Eukaryota; Ichthyosporea; Dermocystida. The record is from RNAcentral.